This 3174-nucleotide long non-coding RNA is filed under the name Triticum aestivum (bread wheat). RNAcentral describes it as "long non-coding RNA (TAES_LNC012232)". The record is from RNAcentral. Lineage: Eukaryota; Viridiplantae; Streptophyta; Magnoliopsida; Poales; Poaceae.
CGCACCCUUGCCUCGGGUCAUCGUCCACUUGUCGCCUCGCCAGCGCCGCCCGACCCGCGCCACCUUGUCCGCAUUGUGCUCGCCGCCCCGACGCCGACUCGCCGUCACCCGUCGUCGCCGGACUGCCGCCGCCUCGUCCUCUUCCUCGUCGGACCUCCCCGACCUCCGUCGAGCCUACUGCCAUUCCCCCUACGGCCCCAGUGAGCCUCCUCCUCGCUCCUCCCCUUCCCUCUGCUCGUUCGUCAUCGAAUGCGCCCGCGCUCAGGGCCGCACUCGCCCCGCACGGUGCGCCAUCAUGCGCGAGCACGCACCCGCCUCCCCUACGCCGUUCGCGCUCACCGCGACCCAGGGUCGUCCGUCCCGCGUGCCCCGGCUGCUGGCCUCAUACCACCGCGCCCCUGGCCGUGCCCACGAGUCCACGCGACCGCGGUGCCCCGCGCCCAAUCCACCGCCCCCUGCGCUCCGACCGGCCUCGUCUGGCCAUGCCGUGUCACCCCGCUCCGGCCAUGGCCGGCGACGCCGAGCCACGCGCCGGCGCCCUUCGCCUCCUGGCUGCGGUGCCCUGUCGGGCGGGCUGGCGCCCGAUGCCCGGUUCCGCCCUGCGCCUGUGCGCCCGCUAACCCGUCCCCGUUUGGCCCUCUCGGUCACUUCCAAACGGGGCCCACUAGCCCCAGAAUGUUUUUUUAAAAGAAAUUAAAAUAAAUAAUAAUAACAAUAAAAUUAUAUAUUAAAAAUCAAUUAAUUAACUAGUAAAGAAUUAAUUAACUUAAUUAAUUUUGAUUAAUUAAACUAAUCAACUAACUAAACUAAUUAAUCAGUUAAUUAGUUAAUUAAGUAGUCAAUGACACUGGGGCCCACCCCCCAAUUAAUCCUGUUUAGGUUAAUUAAAAUGCUUAACAAAAAUGUGUCACUGACCAGUGGGACCCAUUGAUCAGGUUGACCAGUCAACCCCUGUUGAUUGCUGACGUCAGCAUGACAUCAUGCUGAUGUCAUUAAUCCAUUUUCGGUUUAAAUUAAAUAAUUAAUUAAAUUCUGCAAAUUAAUGAAAGCUUUAGAAAAUCAUAACUUUUAAUCCGUAACUCGGAUUAAAUUAUUUUCAACAUGAAAGUUACUCAGAACGACGAGACGAAUCCGGAUACGCAACCCAUUCGUCCGCCAAACAUCCCUAGCAUAGCAAACAUGCAACUUUCCCCCUCCGGUUCAUCUGUCCGAAAACGCGAAACACCGGGAAUACUUUCCCGGAUGUUUUCCCCCUUCAUCGGUAUCAUUUACUACCGCGUUAGGGCACACCGAACACCACGUAUUGUCUUGUUACGCUUUGUGAUGCUUUGAUUGCUCUGUUAUUUAUUAUGUUCCCUCUCCGUUACUUCUUUCCGAUAGACCCCGAGACUACCGGCGACCCCCAGUUCGACUACAGUGUUGGCGACUCGUCCUUCUUGCUAGAGCUACCAGGCAAGCCCCCCCUUGAUCACCAGAUAUCGCCUAUUCUCCUCUAUACUGCUUGCAUUAGAGUAGUGUAGCAUGUUGCUGCUUUCCGUUAAUCCUAUUCUGAUGCAUAGCCUGACAUUGUUGCUACAUCUGUUGAUACCUUACCUGCAAUCCUGAAUACUUAGUAUAGGAUGCUAGUUUAUCAUCAUUGGCCCUACAUUCUUGUCAGUCUGCCUUGCUAUACUAUUGGGCCGUGAUCACUCGAGAGGUGAUCACGGGUGUAUACUAUACAUACAUAUCCUAUACAGAUGGUGACUAAAGUCGGGUCAGCUCGUUGAGUACCCGCAAGUGGUUCCAAUGUGUGGGCUGGAAGGACAGGUGGCUCCAUCCCGGUAGAGGUGGGCCCGGGUUCCCGACGGCUCCCGACUGUUACUUUGUGACGGAGCGACAGGGCAGGUUGAGACCACCUAGGAGAGAGGUGGGCCUGGCCCUGGUCGGCGUUCGCGGAUACUUAACACGCUUAACGAGAUCUUGGUAUUUGAUUUGAGUCUGGCUACUUGCCUAUACGCACUAACCAACUACGCGGGAACAGCUAUGGGCACUCGACGUCGUGGUAUCAGCCGAAGCCUUCGUGACGUCAGUGACUGAGCGGCGCGCGCCAGAUUGGACCGUGUAACGUGACUUCCUUUGUAAUGGAGGUUGCUAGGUCUGCUUCCGGCCGCGUACGCAACAUGCAGGAGUGCAAUGGGCGAUGGGCACAGACCCCUGCGCGCAUAGGAUUUAGACCGGCGUGCUGACCUCUCUAUUGUGCCUAGGUGGGGCUGUGACAUGUUGAUCUUCCGAGGCCGGGCAUGACCCAGGAAAGUGUGUCCGGCCAAAUGGGAUCGAGCAUGUUGGGUUAUGUGGUGCACCCCUGCAGGGAAGUUAAUCUAUUCGAAUAGCCGUGAUCUUCGGUAACAGGACGACUUGGAGUUGUACCUUGAACUUAUGACAACUAGAACCGGAUACUUAAUAAAACACACCCAGACAAGUUCCACAGACAACCCGGUGAUCGCUUUUCCACAGGGCGACGAGGGGAGGAUCGUCGGGUAGGAUUAUGCUACGCGAUGCUACUUGGAGGACUUCAAUCUACUCUCUUCUACAUGCUGCAAGACGGAGGCUGCCAGAAGCGUAGUCUUCGAUAGGGCUAGCUAUCCCCCUCUUAUUCUGGCAUUCUGUAGUUCAGUCCACUCAUAUUGCCUCCUUACACAUAUACUCAUGCAUAUGUAGUGUAGCUCCUUGCUUGCGAGUACUUUGGAUGAGUACUCACGGUUGCUUUGCUCCCUCUUUUCCCUCGUUUUCCUCUUCUUCUCGGAUGCCGCAACCAGACAUAGGAGUCCAGGAGCCAGACGCCACUGUCGAUGACGACUCCUACUACGCUGGAGGUGCCUACUACUACGUGCAGCCCACUGACGAUGACCAGGAGUAGUUAGGAGGAUCCCAGGCAGGAGGCCUGCGCCUCUUUCGAUUUGUAUCCCAGUUUGUGCUAGCCAUCUUAUGGCAACUUUUUUAACUUAUGUCUGUACUCAGAUAUUGUUGCUUCCGCUGGCUCGUCUAUGAUCGAGCACUUGUAUUCGAGCCCUCGAGGCCCCUGGCUUGUAUUAUGAUGCUUGUAUGACUUAUUUUAUUUUUAGAGUUGUGUUGUGAUAUCUUCCCGUGAGUCCCUGAUCUUGAUCGUACACGUUUGCGUGUAUGAUUAGUGUACGA